Long non-coding RNA from Balaenoptera acutorostrata (minke whale), 4085 nucleotides. RefSeq lists it as uncharacterized. The record is from RefSeq and is a predicted model, not a curated record. The transcript is spliced from 6 exons. Lineage: Eukaryota; Metazoa; Chordata; Mammalia; Artiodactyla; Balaenopteridae.
ACUACAACCAAACAAUGCUCGGCGAUCGCGGCAGCUGCUCUCCAAAUGUCAGCGCCAAGCCCGGCCAAAGGGCUGGAAGGCCACCGAGCCCAGGACUUUGUACGCUACCUUUGUCGCCCACAUUUUCCCCAAGCACUCUCAGGACCCUGGCAACAGGUAACGUGGCAACCUUUGCCUUCUAAAACGGCAAGCGGCAGGAUUUCAGAGAACAAAAGGAUUUUUUGAAAGCCAGCUGCAUCUCCCUCGCCACCCCCCUCCCCCUCCCCACGCCCUCCCCCUUCGCCACACCAAGUCUGAGAAAACAAAGUAUUGCUGCGGCAGCCCGGCUCUCGAGCGCCCCCUUGUGACCAAGCUCGGAACAUCACCGAUGUACCUUUCAAGGUACAACUUCAGUCCGAGGCUCGGCUCCCAGGCCGAAUGCCAUCCACACAAAAGAGCUCCUGUCGACAUCUCAUUUACAAUCUGCCCCCAGGACACAGACAGGACCAUUUCAAUAAACCCGGCUCAGAAACACCUAUUGUUCAAAAUCUUCAACUACCCACAGGCUACCACCACUCCCUAUUGUUUUGUAAAAGAAAAGAUUUAGAAGGAGCCAGAUUGGGACCUGGAAGCUCUGAAAAGAGGAAGGAAUAAAGUCCCUUUGACCCGAUGCUGUUGGAGAACGUGCAUGAAGAAUAAAGUUAAUGGAUUUUCAUUUUUACAAGAAGUGCAUAAGCAACGCCCGCUCCCUUCCUGAACUAGUGAUCGGGGAUUCUAAAAGCAGUGCCAACUUUGUAAAGAAGUUAACUCCUGCCAUCGGGUUUGGCACCUGAAAAGUCAAAGGCUCUACUUACCCUAUUCUCUGUCUUACAAAAGCCCUGAUGGCAGCCGCAGCAAAGCACCAGCUAGUAAGCCGGGUGUACCCCUGCUCCUGUGCAAAAGGCCUGUGAAACUCUGAAGCUAUACCUGUACACAGAUGUGAUCCGAUGAUGCCAUCUCAUCUCCAUGGCAACCAGGUGUCUCAGUUAUCUAGUCUGGUGCCAGGGCAUCGGAGACCUGCCACCACCAUGCUGUUCCCCGGUCACUCAGUUCCAAAUUUAUGAGAUUGCCUCAGUCCCUUAGGUAUUUGUUCUCUGAAAGGUGUGGAAUUGUGCUGAGUACUUUUUACAUAUGAUCAUCAUUCCUUUUUACAGAGUUGGAGACCCAGGUAAAGUUCAGAGCAGCUCGUAACCUGCCUGCAGCCAACGGCAUAUUCCAAAGGUGGCUAAAACAAUAUUGUCCAUCCCACAUGGUCUUCUAGAACAGGGGUCAGGAAAGUCCUCUAUAAAGAGCUGUACAGUAAAUAUUUUUGAUUUUGCAGACCAUGCAGUCUCUGUCCCAAACACUCAACUUUGACAUUGUGGCAAAGCCAGAAACAAUAUAUAAAUGCACAAACAUGGCUGCCUUGGAGAGGUGAGCCUGAUUUGUUCCAAGGGUCAUAAUUUGCCAACCCUGCUCUAGAACUUUGCCACUUCCCAUGGUGAGGUGGAGUCUGAUACCCCUCCCCUUGAACUUGGGGAAGUGUGUGAUUUGCUCGUGACCGAGAGAGUAGGAAGGAACUGACAGUGCAUGACCUCCAAGGCUAGAUCAGAAAAGGUGAUGCUGUUUCUCCCUUAGUCCCUGGGACAUCUGCCUGCUUGGAGCCCUGAGCCGCCACAGAAGCAUCCAAUUUUCCUGAGGCCGCCGUGCUGUAAGGAAGCCCAAGUCAGCCACGUAGAAAGACCACAUGAAGAAGCCUGGAGACUCUUAAGAAGAGGGAGAGGUGUUCAGCAGCCCCCAGUGAUCCAUCUCUCCACCCACCCAACUGCAAGCUUGGAAGAGACCCUGAGCCAGAACUACCCAGCCGAAGCUCUUCCCAAAUUCCUGCCCCAUAGAAACUGAGAAAUAAUAACACGAUUGCUGUGGUUUUAAGGCACUAAACAAAAAACUUAGAACACUGUCCCAAAACUAGUGAGUGGCAGAUAUGGGAUUCAAACCUAGGUUGGCUUGACAUUCUAUUACAUGAUCAUUAAUCAUUCUAUUACAUGAUUGCUUACAGCAGCCUUUUUAAAAACUGGUGCUAAAAUAUAUGUAACAUAAAACUUACCGUGUUAACCAUCUUUAAGUGUACAGUUCAAUAAGUACAUUCACACUGUUGUGCAACAUAUCUCCAGACCCUUUUCAUCUUGCAAAACUGAAACUCUACCCAUUAAACAAGAGCUUCCCCUCCCUCACCCCCAGCCCCCGGAAACCACGCUUCUACUUUCUGUCUCUAUGAAUUUGACAACUCUAGGUCCCUCUUAUACUGUAAGUGGAAUCAUACAGUGUUUGUGAUUUUUGUGACCGGCUGAUUUUACUUAGUAUAUACAUGUGUGUAUUUUAUAUGUGUAUAUUUUAAGCCCAUGUUGGGUAGUGGGUCUGACCAGCGAGCAGCAAAGGUUUGUCAAAGAAAAAUGUCAGAGACCCCAGGUCUUAUAAGUCACAGAUUCAAGGUCCCAGGGGGGACUUUGCAUCAGCAGUUACUCUGACAGUGACAAUUCAGUGUCCUGCCUCUAAAGGGCUUUGAAGACAGAGGAACCCAUGAAUCAAGAACAAGAUAAGGCUGUUUGCUUUGUUUCAACUUGCUGGCUGACUUCCUUCUCAGAGCCAUGCCUUGAGGAUGAAAUCAUUUUCUACCACACAGCCCCUGCAAAGACCGUCAAACACAAGCCCUCACUGUCUGCUCCUUUAUUUCCUCUGGGUCCAGGGUGUGUAUUGACUUGGUGGAAUGUCUGUGACUUGCUGUAAAUUGUGUAUCAAGCAAAAAACUUUCUGCAGGGAGUCGGCUCUUGGGAGGGUGAGCCUUAAAUGCUGCUUCUUGCUUAUAGAGACUAAGCCUCAGCCUGCGGGGGCUUCUUUGACCUCCUCCACCUUCCUUCCAUCCCUGACCUAAGACCAAAAGGCAGACCUGGGCCCAGGUGCACACGGUGACAGUCCCAGCUUGGCCUACCCUUCCCUAUGCCUGCCCUGAUUGCGCCUGGCCCACCUGUUAACACAGAGAAGUGGAGAUAAGGUCUUUAAAGAGGUGAUUAAGUUAAAAUGAGGUAAAAUGAGGGUGGGCUGGAAUCCAAUAGGACUGGGUCCUUAUAAAAAGAGAGAGAGAGAGACACCAGGGGCGUCUCACAGAGGAAGGGUCAGGUGAGGAUGCAGAGAGGAUACAGCCGUCUGCAAGCCAACAAGAGAGGCUUCAGGAGAAACAGCCUGCCUACACACCUUGACCUCAGACUUCGAGGCCCCAGAACUGUGAGAAGGCCCAGCCCCAUCUCCCCCAGACAGCUGCCGCUACAUCCCUCUCCUUCAGAAGCGGAAGCAAGGGGUGUUUUAGGACCUUUCCGGGUGAGUGACAGCAUUUGAGAUGCAACUGAUAAAACGCCAGUGCUGAGAGGAACCAGACUCUCCCCAGUCACCUCCGCCCACCUCUCUCGUGCCGCCUAAACUGAGCCUGUCGGAGCCUGUCGGAUGUUCGUCUGUGCGAUCCGGUCACGUCCACCUCUUCUGUGAGACGGUGGGCUUUGGUGACUCGGGUGUGAACUGUCCCUUUGGGGCAGUGGGGCUGGGACACUCUGCACGCGCUGGGCCACAUGGGGACUGGCCGCCGUGACUGUGCCCCCGAGCUUGCGUCGGGCUCCAUGGGGGCCACUCAGGGUAUCUGUCCCUGUUGGCGAAUGAGGUCUUAUUCCAGCUCGCCGGGGAGGCUGCAGGGUUUUUCCUCAGCCACCCCGUGAUGACCGAGGGACAACAUUCCGCGAAACCAGAAGGGCUGGGCGGGCCUCUGGAAUGUCAAAGGAAACAGCUUGGAGAGGCUGGUGGCUGGUUUCUGCCGUGUCACUUUCUCUGAGCAGCAAGCACUUUGUAGCCGUUCACUUAGCACCUGAAUCCCACAAACAUUAAGAUGUACCUUUCUUAGAAGGGAAGGGCCAGUUUAUUUUUCCUUCACAGAAACAGUUCAUGAUAAACAGGUCACGAUAAAGACUAUUUACAAGAAUAGGGGAAACUAACAGAGGAAGACUACCCCACCCCCUUUUAAUUCAAAUUUUAUCUUAUUUGUU